UAGAAAAAGGCAGAUCUUAGAGAGUUAAAGGUUUAGUACCUGCUCUUAACAUGCCAACCAUUAAACAUGCCCAGUGUUCGCAAAGCAUUUCUCCAUUCCUGGACCUUUUGUGGAUUCUCCUGCUUGAAACCCUUUUCGCCCUGGCCAAUAU
Long non-coding RNA from Rhodamnia argentea, 151 nucleotides. RefSeq lists it as uncharacterized. The record is from RefSeq and is a predicted model, not a curated record. The transcript has 3 exons. Lineage: Eukaryota; Viridiplantae; Streptophyta; Magnoliopsida; Myrtales; Myrtaceae.